Molecule: ribosomal RNA, 469 nt
Filed under: uncultured bacterium
Lineage: Bacteria
Description: bacterial SSU rRNA
Rfam family: Bacterial small subunit ribosomal RNA
Source: RNAcentral
AACGAACGCUGGCGGCAUGCCUUACACAUGCAAGUCGAACGGCAGCACGGGAGCAAUCCUGGUGGCGAGUGGCGAACGGGUGAGUAAUAUAUCGGAACGUGCCCGGUCGUGGGGAUAACGUAGCGAAAGCUACGCUAAUACCGCAUACGAUCUAUGGAUGAAAGCGGGGGAUCGCAAGACCUCGCGCGAUUGGAGCGGCCGAUAUCAGAUUAGGUAGUUGGUGAGGUAAAGGCUCACCAAGCCGACGAUCUGUAGCUGGUCUGAGAGGACGACCAGCCACACUGGGACUGAGACACGGCCCAGACUCCUACGGGAGGCAGCAGUGGGGAAUUUGGACAAUGGGCGCAAGCCUGAUCCAGCAAUGCCGCGUGCAGGAUGACGGGUCCUAUGGAUUGUAAACUGCUUUUGUACAGGAGAACCCUUUCACGUGUGGAGAUUGACGGUACUGUAGGAUAAGGAUCGGCUAACU